RNAcentral lists this ribosomal RNA (492 nucleotides) under uncultured bacterium. RNAcentral's name for it is "partial 16S ribosomal RNA". It matches the Rfam family "Bacterial small subunit ribosomal RNA", at positions 29 to 507 of the family's 1533-position model. The record is from RNAcentral.
AGUGAACGCUGGCGGUAGGCCUAACACAUGCAAGUCGAACGGCAGCACAGUAAGAGCUUGCUCUUACGGGUGGCGAGUGGCGGACGGGUGAGGAAUACAUCGGAAUCUACUUUUUCGUGGGGGAUAACGUAGGGAAACUUACGCUAAUACCGCAUACGACCUACGGGUGAAAGCAGGGGAUCUUCGGACCUUGCGCGAUUGAAUGAGCCGAUGUCGGAUUAGCUAGUUGGCGGGGUAUAGGCCCACCAAGGCGACGAUCCGUAGCUGGUCUGAGAGGAUGAUCAGCCACACUGGAACUGAGACACGGUCCAGACUCCUACGGGAGGCAGCAGUGGGGAAUAUUGGACAAUGGGCGCAAGCCUGAUCCAGCCAUACCGCGUGGGUGAAGAAGGCCUUCGGGUUGUAAAGCCCUUUUGUUGGGAAAGAAAAGCAGCGGGUUAAUACCCCGCUGUUCUGACGGUACCCAAAGAAUAAGCACCGGCUAACUUCGUG